CAGAGGUCCCAAGCGUUACUGAGAAUCACUGGGUUUAAAAGGGUGCGUAGGUGGUCCGUUAAGUCAGUUGUGAAAUCCCCGGGCUCAACCCGGGAAAUGCUUCUGAUACUGGCGGACUUGAGGCCAGUAGGGGUCACUAGAACUGACGGUGGAGCGGUGAAAUGCGUAGAUAUCGUCAGGAAUGCCGGUGGUGAAGACGGGUGACUGGGCUGGUUCUGACACUGAGGCACGAAAGCGUGGGGAGCGAACGGGAUUAGAUACCCCGGUAGUCCACGCCCUAAACGAUGCAGACUAGAUUGCAGCGGGUUACACCCCGUUGCGGUCGGAGCGAAAUUGUUAAGUCUGCCACCUGGGAAGUACGGUCGCAAGGCUA
Molecule: ribosomal RNA, 373 nt
Filed under: uncultured organism
Description: bacterial SSU rRNA
Rfam family: Bacterial small subunit ribosomal RNA
Source: RNAcentral